This 450-nucleotide ribosomal RNA is filed under the name uncultured bacterium. RNAcentral describes it as "partial 16S ribosomal RNA". It matches the Rfam family "Bacterial small subunit ribosomal RNA", at positions 354 to 796 of the family's 1533-position model. The record is from RNAcentral.
GUGGGGAAUAUUGGACAAUGGGCGAAAGCCUGAUCCAGCCAUGCCGCGUGUGUGAAGAAGGUCUUCGGAUUGUAAAGCACUUGAAGUUGGGAGGAAGGGCAGUAAGUUAAUACCUUGCUGUUUUGACGUUACCAACAGAAUAAGCACCGGCUAACUUCGUGCCCGCAGCCGCGGUAAUACGAAGAGUGCAAGCGUUAAUCGGAAUUACUGGGCGUAAAGCGCGCGUAGGUGGUUCAGCAAGUUGAAGGUGAGAUCCCCGGGCCCAACCUUGGAACUGCCUCCAAAACUGCAUGACUAGAGUACGGUAGAGAGUAGUGGAAUUUCCUGUGUAGCGGUGAAAUGCGUAGAUAUAGGAAGGAACACCAGUGGCGAAGGCGACUACCUGGACUGAUACUGACACUGAGGUGCGAAAGCGUGGGGAGCAAACAGGAUUAGAAACCCUGGUAGUCC